CAGAGACUGCAAGCGUUAUUCGGAUUCACUGGGCGUAAAGGGUGCGCAGGCGGCCAAGUGUGUUAGGCGUGAAAGCCUGAGGCUUAACCUCAGAAUUGCACCUAAAACUACAUGGCUAGAGCAUUGGAGAGGGUAGCGGAAUUCACGGUGUAGCAGUGAAAUGCGUAGAUAUCGUGAGGAACACCAGAGGCGAAGGCGGCUACCUGGACAAUUGCCGACGCUCAGGCACGAAAGCGUGGGGAGCAAAAGGGAUUAGAUACCCCUGUAGUCCACGCCCUAAACGGUGCACACUAGGUCUUGGCGGAUUCGACCCCACCAGGGCCCAAGCUAACGCGUUAAGUGUGCCGCCUGAGGACUACGGUCGCAAGACUA
Molecule: ribosomal RNA, 372 nt
Filed under: uncultured organism
Description: bacterial SSU rRNA
Rfam family: Bacterial small subunit ribosomal RNA
Source: RNAcentral